Molecule: ribosomal RNA, 253 nt
Filed under: uncultured bacterium
Lineage: Bacteria
Description: partial 16S ribosomal RNA
Rfam family: Bacterial small subunit ribosomal RNA
Source: RNAcentral
GACGUAGGGCGCGAGCGUUGUCCGGAAUCAUUGGGCGUAAAGAGCGCGUAGGCGGUCCGGUAAGUCCGCUCUGAAAGCCCGGAGCUCAACUCCGGAACUGCCUUUAAGACUGCAUCGCUAGAAUUGUGGAGAGGUAAGUGGAAUUCCGAGUGUAGAGGUGAAAUUCGUAGAUAUUCGGAAGAACACCAGUGGCGAAGGCGGUUGCCUGGAGCUUUGCUGACGCUGAGGCGCGAAAGCGUGGGGAGCGAUCCGG